UACGAAGGGGGCUAGCGUUGCUCGGAAUUACUGGGCGUAAAGCGCACGUAGGCGGAUCCUUAAGUCGGUGGUGAAAUCCUGAAGCUCAACUUCAGAACUGCCUUCGAUACUGGGGACCUUGAGUUCGGGAGAGGUGAGUGGAACUGCGAGUGUAGAGGUGAAAUUCGUAGAUAUCGGAAGGAACGCCGGUGGCGAAAGCGGCGUGCUGGACCUCUUCUGACGCUGAGGCGCGAAAGCCAGGGGAGCAAACGGG
This 253-nucleotide ribosomal RNA is filed under the name uncultured bacterium. RNAcentral's name for it is "partial 16S ribosomal RNA". It matches the Rfam family "Bacterial small subunit ribosomal RNA", at positions 524 to 776 of the family's 1533-position model. The record is from RNAcentral.